UAUAAAGAGUCCUGCCUGCCCAGUGAAUUUAAAUAGUAUUUAAUUUAAACGGCCGCAGUAUUCUGACUGUGCUAAGGUAGCAUAAUCCAAUGUUUCUUAAUUGGGAACUAGUAUGAAUGGCAAGACGAGGGUAGUACUGUCUCUUUCUAUAUUAUAUAAAAAUUGUUAUUGAAGUAAAAAAACUUUGAUUUUUUCAAAAGACGAAAAGACCCUGUAGAGUUUAAAAUUAAUUUUAAUUUUUUUUGUAGAAAAUAUAGUAAUUAAAAUAUAUUUUUUGUUGGGGCAACAAAGGAGUAUAAAAAAUCUCUUUAAAUAAAAUAAAUUGGUGAAUUUUUUGAUCUAUUAUAUGAAUUGGAGAAAAAGUUACCUCAGGGAUAACAGCGUAAUUUUUCUGGAGAGUACUAAUUGAAGGAAAAGAUUGCGACCUCGAUGUUGGAUUGAAAAUACUUUUAUAGUGCAGCAGCUUAAAAAGUGGGUCUGUUCGACCUAUAAUAUUUC
This 498-nucleotide ribosomal RNA is filed under the name Cyanoplax beanii. Its description in RNAcentral is "partial large subunit ribosomal RNA". It matches the Rfam family "Bacterial large subunit ribosomal RNA", at positions 1844 to 2597 of the family's 2925-position model. RNAcentral also lists the same sequence under 1 other name. The record is from RNAcentral. Lineage: Eukaryota; Metazoa; Mollusca; Polyplacophora; Chitonida; Tonicellidae.